AUGGCGAAGAGGUCACACCCGUUCCCAUCCCGAACACGGAAGUUAAGCUUUUCAGCGCCGAUGGUAGUAGGGGGCUUCCCCCUGUGAGAGUAG
Molecule: ribosomal RNA, 93 nt
Filed under: Listeria rocourtiae FSL F6-920
Lineage: Bacteria; Bacillati; Bacillota; Bacilli; Caryophanales; Listeriaceae
Source: RNAcentral